This 184-nucleotide small RNA is filed under the name Pseudictyota dubia. Its description in RNAcentral is "partial Betaproteobacteria transfer-messenger RNA". The record is from RNAcentral. Lineage: Eukaryota; Bacillariophyta; Thalassiosirophyceae; Eupodiscales; Odontellaceae.
UUGUUGUUUUUAUUCGCAGAAGGAUCCAGUCCCGGGUGCGAUGCCCUACAUUUACACCAAGGCCGGGCGACGAUGCCGCCGGCGCGACGGGGCGUCGGUCGAUUUGAACUGAUUCCGUCGGAGGGGGUUAGGGUGCUGUGUUGGGACGCGAUGACGAAGGUUGUGAGUAGCAGAAACACAAAUG